RNAcentral lists this unclassified non-coding RNA (347 nucleotides) under fungal sp. Its description in RNAcentral is "partial internal transcribed spacer region". The stretch from base 1 to 46 matches the Rfam family "Eukaryotic small subunit ribosomal RNA", at positions 1786 to 1831 of the family's 1831-position model. Lineage: Eukaryota; Fungi. The record is from RNAcentral.
AAGUCGUAACAAGGUUUCCGUAGGUGAACCUGCGGAAGGAUCAUUAACACGUAUCCAACGUUAAAACCCCCUGUGAACCUUUAGUGUGCUCGCUCAUUCUGUUGGAAAGUGGCAAUCCCUGGUAAAUCAUCGCCGAACAGUUUUGAUUCAGGGACUUCUGCGAAGAGUGUUGCUUGUAGCGCGAGGCAAGUGGCCUGGCAUUCCUCUGCUUGUUAGUGUCUGAAAGUGUCACUGGCUCCGUAAGAAUGGCGCAGUCACGAUCGCUAGAGGCCGACACGGCCGGCGACCUGCGCUUAAUUGUGCGGCCAUAAACCGAACAACUGUUAACAAUGGAUAUCUUGGUUCUC